ACAGACUUAAUUGGCAGUGUGGCCAGAUGUAGAAUUCUGGGGUCAUAUUUUCCUGCCAGAAGAGUCUGUAAAUGUGGCCCCUUGUGUCCCAGUGUCCUGCAUGCAGCUGUGCCAAUGGCCGAGACAGGCUGCCCUUUUCCUGCUAUAAGAGUAUGUUGCUCUGCUCAAUAAGCCUAACAAAACACCAUAGGCUGAGUGGCUUCAACAACAGACAUUUGUUUUCUCACAGCUCUGGGGGCUUUAGGUCUGAGAUCAAGGUGCCAUCAUGGUUGGUUUAUGGUGAGAUCUCUCUUCCUGGCAUGCAGAUGGCCUCCUUCUCACCAGGUCCUCGUGUGGCUCUUCCUCUGUGUGUGAGUAAGAGAGAGCUCCCUGAUCCCUCUGCCUUUUCCUGCAGAGAUGUUAGUGCUGUCCUGUGACCUCACUGAUCCUGGGUUACCCCUCUAGGGGCUUCAUCUCCAAACACAGUCACCUGAGUGUUGCAGCUUCAGCAUAAGAGAUUUGGGAAACAAAGCUCAGUAUAUAACAAAGGACAGAACCUCCCCUGAAUACACCAGGAAAUAGAGAAUAUCUUGCAGAAAUUAUGUUCAAAUUAUUUAAUGUACCAGGACUGUACAUUGCAGUUCAGGUGGAAGGUUAGGUACUAGGAAGCUGCAUCAAACACAUCCCUGUUGCAGGUAGAGAUAUUAUGUAUUUCAUUCAACAGCUGCCAAGGGAGUGGGAGGUGGGAAUCCCUCCUGAGCAACCACUGGAGUCUGCAAAGGCCAUUAAGGAGAAUUACUGACACAUUUGCCCCAAUAUAGUCAAGGAGUUUGCCAAGUAUGAUGUGGAUCCACAGAAGUGGAUCAAACAGCACACAGGGAACAAUGCCAUCAGCCAGAAGAAGUUCAUUAUCGAUGUUGGCUAGGAAAGGUUCCCAGGCCUUGAAAUUUUCUCUCAGCCAGAGAUAUUGAUUUACAUGCCAAGUAUAAUGCCUGGCCCAGGAAGCCCAGGAGAUGAAUCAAAUAACUUGACCAUGAAGGAGCACUGAGGAGGAGGCAGAGAUAAUCUCUGGCGUGGGUAUUAUAAUAGGUGUACUACAAGGUUCAGAGGCAGUGCAGAGAAAGAAAUGAGGAGCUCUUGAAACUGGUUGGCAGUGGGCAAGGGUUUAGAAUGGUCUUUAAGAAUAGGUACAUUUGAACUGACUCUUAAAAGAUGGGCAGGUGUUUGACAAGGCAAGGUGAACAUCACUGAUAGAGGGGAGUGAAGCCACCUGGAAACCUUCCUCUGUGCACUGCAAACAGUUUGAGAUGGUUGGUGCAUGGCACAUGACUGUGCACAUUGGGUCCAUGUUGUGUGCACAGAUGAUUUAGAAAUGACAGAGGGGAAGAGGUGAAGCUGGAGAGUUGCAGGAGCACACAGAGGAAGACUGUCUUACAUGGCUUUCCAAGGCAUUUGGACAUGAUCUUGUGGCAAAGCAAGUCAUUACAUGAUUAUUAAACUAAGCAGUAGUGGUGUGGAAUUUGCCUUCCACAACAAUUAUUUUCCUGCAGUGUGGAUGACAAAUUUGGGAGGCGGAAGAGGGGAAAGAAUACAAACUGAACUACUGGUUGGAAGACAAUUAGCAGUGGUCCUGGAAAGACUCAAGGCAAUCAAGAGGCUGUGAAGGAAGGGCGUUGAAGGGAGGGACCUUAAGGAUAUGGCCUCUGGACAAACAGAUUACUAUUGCUUAAGGAGUAGUUUAGUGGGAAGCAAAGCAAAGAGAAGCACAUAAUGUGUUCUAAGUAUUUUUGGGUCAUGUAAUUGGGUAAAUGGUAUUGAUAUUUGCAAUAUAUAUAUGGAAUCAAACAAAUUAAUCCCAAGUUUCAGGGAGAAAAAGUAUCUUCAGCACCCUAAUUACAGGUCCUCACUUUUUCUAUGAAGCAGGAAGCAAAGGUGAUUUUAUCCCCAUUUAUGUCCAAAGGGGUAAACAUUUUGCCUACUAUCACAUGCAGCAGGUUGGGAAGUUUAUUCUCUACCAGGCUUAAGAACAGAUAAACAAGGGAGACAAGAACCAUGCUUUCACAGAACUUAUAUUCUUGUGUCUGUGUUGGGGGAACAGAAUAUGAACAAGUCAGCAAGCAAUGAACCCAGGUGUGAAGGACUAUGAUGGUGACAGGCAGUGGUACUUUAUCUAGAUAUUAGGGAAAGUAUCCCUGAGGUCACCCUGGAGCUGACCUUCCAUUGAGAAGGAAGCAGUCAUUCAGAUUCUUAGGGGAAGAAUGUUCUAGGCAGAGAACAACAAUUGAGAAGUCCCUGAGGUCAAAACAAGUUUGCUGCACCCUGAGGGAGGAAUUCCAAAUACAGAGCAAAUGAAGAGCUGGGGAAAUUCCUAGUUCCAAUGGCAUUCCUGGGAAGGUGAAAGUGAAAGGCUUGUGACCCCUUAUGGUAAAUACCUAGCAUAAAUACUCUUGGGGAGGGCUGGGAACCUGCCCAGCAUGCACAACAAUAUGCCUCUAGAAACUGCAUCAUGACUCACAAAUGCUUUUGGAAGACAAGUCCUUGCUCAGUUGCCUAUCUUGGUAACUCAUUUAACUAAAACUCAUUUAGGUUUGCCUAGAGAGAUGAACUUAAAAAUCUUUAGAUUAAUGAAAUUCAUCUUAAAUUUAUCAGUUCAGAACAAGAAACCACCUACAGUCCAAUGGCAGGCAGCUCUGCCCCUGAGGCUCUGUCAUUCCCUAACAUGUUACAUGGGAGCAGAGCCUCCCAGCCAACUUCCAAAACCCUAAAAGAGACCAGAGAGGCCACAUUUCCCCCAAAGGAUGCCCCAUUAGCUCAGCUGGACAGGAAAAGGAGAAAUGGUAUCCCACUGCUUGUCUAUGUGUACCUGGAAUGCCUUGGAGAGAUGGGACAUUGGGGCUGUCUGCUGGCUCUGAGAUGGGCCAUCCCAAGCACAGUCCUGCUGCUGUCUGGAACACACUGCUCACACCUCUCAUCCUGUGGUCAUCCUCCACUGCUACUUUGUGGGCUACCUAUUCUUCUGCCAACAGUGUUUCUUAUGCCACCCCAUUCAGCCAAAUGGCUUCAAAUUCAAAUUCUCACUACGGGUAAUGCAGAUCAACACUCUGACACUCUGAAAAGAUCCUACUUUACAGCCAAUUUUCGCAGAUGCCUCUGCUUAGUGUAUCAAAAAAAAAGUAUGUGAAUUUAAUAUUUAUCAUUAUAGCAUGAAUAAAUUAUGAAAUAAUUAGAUUAUUCCUAAAUUAUGUAGCCCCUUUCAGAGUAUCACAUUGAGAAGUUAUAUAUCACGGGCACUUAUUGUAAAGAUGGCCCCAAAUCAUGAAAUGCAUACUUUGGAGUGGUGCUGGAGACUGUGGCAUGUUCUGGUCCAUGCCGAGGGCAGGCUCACCUUGUGUCUGAGCUCAUUUCAAACCAUAUGCCCAUAACAUCUCUUUACUUCAACUCACUGGCCAAUUUUUGUUCCUAAAGUCACCAUUCAACCUCGGAUCAUAAGAUGUUUGCACAUACUUUCACAGCACCUGUACAUCUCCUUCCUAACAACUUUAAUAAUGGCAAUUUUUCAUUUAUUUUCAGUGAUUGAUUCACCUGUCUCCCUCAGUAACUGCAACUUCCACAGCAGCAGGAACCAUGUGCAUUUCUGCUUACCAAUAUGUCCCCAGAAACUAGCACAGCUUCUGGCACACAGUAGGGGCUUAACAACUAGCCACUGGGGGAAAAAUACUAUGAAAUAGACUCAUUGGUGGAAAUGUUUCUGCUUCUAAGAGUGGAUCUGCCAAAAAUCAUUCAAAUCAAGGCUAACUAACUUUAAGGCUCAGCUAUGCUGUUUUUUUCUU
Molecule: non-coding RNA, 3809 nt
Organism: Vicugna pacos (alpaca)
Lineage: Eukaryota; Metazoa; Chordata; Mammalia; Artiodactyla; Camelidae
Source: RefSeq, a predicted model, not a curated record